CCUACGGGAGGCAGCAGUAGGGAAUUUUCGUCAAUGGGCGCAAGCCUGAACGAGCGAUGCCGCGUGAGUGCAGAAGGCCUUCGGGUCGUAAAGCUCUGUUGCGGGGGAAAAAAGGCAGCAUCAGGAAAUGGGUGCUGACUGAUGGUGCCCCGCCAGAAAGUCACGGCUAACUACGUGCCAGCAGCCGCGGUAAUACGAAGGUGGCGAGUGUUAUCCGGAAGGAUUGGGAGUAAGGGGUGCGCAGGCGGUCCGGAAAGUCUGGUGUGAAACGCAUGAGCUCAACUCAUGCAUGGCUUUGGAAACUGGAGGACUGGAGAGCAGGAGAGGGCGGUGGAACUCCAUGUGUAGCGGUAAAAUGCGUAGAUAUAUGGAAGAACACCAGUGGCGAAGGCGGCCGCCUGGCCUGUUGCUGACGCUGAGGCACGAAAGCGUGGGGAGCAAAUAGGAUUAGAUACCCUGGUAGUC
RNAcentral lists this ribosomal RNA (465 nucleotides) under uncultured bacterium. Its description in RNAcentral is "partial 16S ribosomal RNA". It matches the Rfam family "Bacterial small subunit ribosomal RNA", at positions 338 to 795 of the family's 1533-position model. The record is from RNAcentral.